RNAcentral lists this ribosomal RNA (253 nucleotides) under uncultured bacterium. Its description in RNAcentral is "partial 16S ribosomal RNA". It matches the Rfam family "Bacterial small subunit ribosomal RNA", at positions 524 to 776 of the family's 1533-position model. The record is from RNAcentral.
UACAGAGGUCCCGAGCGUUGUUCGGAUUCAUUGGGCGUAAAGGGUGCGUAGGCGGCGGGGCAAGUCUGAUGUGAAAUCCCGGGGCUCAACCCCGGAACUGCAUUGGAUACUGCCUUGCUUGAGUACUGGAGAGGGAACUGGAAUUUACGGUGUAGCAGUGAAAUGCGUAGAGAUCGUAAGGAAGGCCAGUGGCGAAGGCGAGUUCCUGGACAGUUACUGACGCUCAGGCACGAAAGCGUGGGGAGCAAACAGG